GCCGAGGUGGUGGAAUUGGUAGACACGCUAGCUUGAGGUGCUAGUGGGUUAACACCCGUGGGGGUUCGAGUCCCCCCUUCGGCA
RNAcentral lists this transfer RNA (84 nucleotides) under Desulfoplanes formicivorans. It matches the Rfam family "tRNA". Rfam says of the family: Transfer RNA (tRNA) molecules are approximately 80 nucleotides in length. The record is from Rfam by way of RNAcentral. Lineage: Bacteria; Pseudomonadati; Thermodesulfobacteriota; Desulfovibrionia; Desulfovibrionales; Desulfoplanaceae.